This 221-nucleotide ribosomal RNA is filed under the name Olea europaea subsp. europaea. RNAcentral's name for it is "Bacterial large subunit ribosomal RNA". It matches the Rfam family "Bacterial large subunit ribosomal RNA", at positions 629 to 849 of the family's 2925-position model. The record is from Rfam by way of RNAcentral. Lineage: Eukaryota; Viridiplantae; Streptophyta; Magnoliopsida; Lamiales; Oleaceae.
UAUAGGCAGUGGCUUGGUUAAGGGAACCCAUCGGAGCCGUAGCGAAAGUGAGUCUUCAUAGGGCAAUUGUCACUGCUUAUGGACCCGAACCUAGGUGAUCUAUCCAUGACCAGGAUGAAGCUUGGGUGAAACUAAGUAGAGGUCCGAACCGACUGAUGUUGAAGAAUUAGCGGACAAGUUGUGGUUAGGGGUGAAAUGCCACUCGAACCCAGAGGUGAAGA